GCUCCGGUAGUGUAGUGAUAGCGUGCGCACUCCGUCAGGGUGAAACGCGGGUUCAACUCCCGCCUGAGGUU
Molecule: non-coding RNA, 71 nt
Organism: Parelaphostrongylus tenuis
Lineage: Eukaryota; Metazoa; Nematoda; Chromadorea; Rhabditida; Metastrongylidae
Source: the annotation of a GenBank genome assembly